UGGGGAAUAUUGGGCAAUGGGCGCAAGCCUGACCCAGCAACGCCGCGUGAAGGAAGAAGGCCCUCGGGUUGUAAACUUCUUUUAUCAGGGACGAAGAAGUGACGGUACCUGAUGAAUAAGCCACGGCUAACUACGUGCCAGCAGCCGCGGUAAUACGUAGGUGGCAAGCGUUAUCCGGAUUUACUGGGUGUAAAGGGCGUGUAGGCGGGGAAGCAAGUCAGAUGUGAAAUUCCAGGGCUCAACCCUGGAACUGCAUUUGAAACUGUUUUUCUUGAGUGAUGGAGAGGCAGGCGGAAUUCCGUGUGUAGCGGUGAAAUGCGUAGAUAUACGGAGGAACACCAGUGGCGAAGGCGGCCUGCUGGACAUUAACUGACGCUGAGGCGCGAAAGCGUGGGGAGCAAACAGG
RNAcentral lists this ribosomal RNA (406 nucleotides) under uncultured bacterium. Its description in RNAcentral is "bacterial SSU rRNA". It matches the Rfam family "Bacterial small subunit ribosomal RNA", at positions 355 to 776 of the family's 1533-position model. The record is from RNAcentral.